Molecule: long non-coding RNA, 795 nt
Organism: Carya illinoinensis
Lineage: Eukaryota; Viridiplantae; Streptophyta; Magnoliopsida; Fagales; Juglandaceae
Exons: 2
Source: RefSeq, a predicted model, not a curated record
CUCGCCCGUAAGCCUUCUUCUCUUCUCUGUCUAACUUCUCUCUAUCUUCUAAGUCUUAGCCAGAGCAGCAGCUGCAGCACCGUCGACUCCUCUUCCAUGCCGCCCCCGUCACUCAAUCUCACUCUGGGGCUCUGCUCAGUACCCAGUUUCCUUUCCCGUGGUCAUGGUUGUGCGUCGGAUCUGCUUCUUCAACAUGUUGUUAGUGCGUGAAUGGUGUUUUGGUUGGCCAGAUCUACGAUGUUUUUUUUUUGUAUUUUUGAUGAUCUGGGCAAGUUUUACUCUUCAGAUUAGAAGCCCCCAAAUCUCUCUCUCUCUCUCUCUAAGAGGAAACCCUAGCCACUACAUCGUGCCUUUGAUGCCAUUUUCACUCGUCGGACUACUGCAGUGUUGUGACUACCAUCGUUGCUCUCUCGCCGAACGUUUGGAUCACCACCUUCGACAAAAACUGCCGCCAGCCAAUUUGGGUGGAUUUGUGAGUGAAAUGCUUGCUAGUGGACCUGAAGAACCCAUACCAUCAUCUAUUUGUGUUUUGGAAAAGUUAAAAGAUUUGUUGACAUUAUUUGCAGCUUAUAGAAUAUUUUUAUUGUAUAAUUUAUUGACAUUAUUUCCUUUUGAAUGAACACGCAGGUGUGCUAUGGGAAAUUGCUAUAGCUUGCAAAAAGACCAUAGAUAUUUAAUUUCCAUGGGUCCUGCAAUAAAAUAAGACCAUUAGAUAUGUAAUUUUCAUAUAUUGUAAUUUUGUAUUUGUAAUGUAAUGUAAAAAUACCAAAUAAUGUAAUAUGGAGUGAAUUGCAU